RNAcentral lists this ribosomal RNA (507 nucleotides) under uncultured bacterium. Its description in RNAcentral is "bacterial SSU rRNA". It matches the Rfam family "Bacterial small subunit ribosomal RNA", at positions 28 to 536 of the family's 1533-position model. The record is from RNAcentral.
GACGAACGCUGGCGGCGUGCUUAACACAUGCAAGUCGAACGGACGAGUGAGAUAAGUUUACUUAACUCACAAGUUAGUGGCGGACGGGUGAGUAACACGUGGAUAAUCUACCUGCAACACCGGGAUAACGCUGUGAAAACGGUGCUAAUACCGGAUACGUUCCCUUGUGCGCAUGUAUGAGGGAAGAAAGCUCAGGCGGUUGCAGAUGAGUCCGCGGCUGAUUAGCUAGUUGGUGAGGUAAAGGCUCACCAAGGCGAUGAUCAGUAGCCGGCCUGAGAGGGUGAACGGCCACACUGGGACUGAGACACGGCCCAGACUCCUACGGGAGGCAGCAGUGGGGAAUCUUCCGCAAUGGGCGCAAGCCUGACGGAGCAACGCCGCGUGGGUGAAGAAGGCCUUCGGGUUGUUAAAGCCCUGUCUUAUGGAAGAAGUCAGUGACGGUACCAUAGGAGGAAGACCACGGACUAACUACGUGCCCAGAAGCCGCGGUAAAAAAGCGGUAACUCU